CAACCCUCAAGCCCUCGCGGUUUGGUGUUGGCGGCCGGCUAGCCUGUCUAGCCGCCGCCGAAAUGCAGGGGCGGUCGCCUCGCGGUAACCAUUACGCAGUAGUAACAUCUCGUAACUGGGACGCGGAGCGGCCACGCCUAACCCCCAACAUCUCAAG
Molecule: unclassified non-coding RNA, 157 nt
Filed under: uncultured Hypocreales
Lineage: Eukaryota; Fungi; Ascomycota; Sordariomycetes; Hypocreales
Description: sequence contains ITS2
Source: RNAcentral